RNAcentral lists this ribosomal RNA (253 nucleotides) under uncultured bacterium. RNAcentral's name for it is "partial 16S ribosomal RNA". It matches the Rfam family "Bacterial small subunit ribosomal RNA", at positions 524 to 776 of the family's 1533-position model. The record is from RNAcentral.
UACGGAGGGUGCAAGCGUUAAUCGGAAUUACUGGGCGUAAAGGGUGCGUAGGUGGUUCGUUAAGUCUGAUGUGAAAGCCCUGGGCUCAACCUGGGAAUGGCAUUGGAUACUGGCGACCUAGAGUGCGGUAGAGGGGUGUGGAAUUCCCGGUGUAGCAGUGAAAUGCGUAGAUAUCGGGAGGAACAUCUGUGGCGAAGGCGACACCCUGGACCAGCACUGACACUGAGGCACGAAAGCGUGGGGAGCAAACAGG